AGCAGCGGAGCAUGCGGCUUAAUUCGACGCAACGCGAAGAACCUUACCAAGGCUUGACAUAUACAGGAAUAUGGCAGAGAUGUCAUAGCCGCAAGGUCUGUAUACAGGUGGUGCAUGGUUGUCGUCAGCUCGUGUCGUGAGAUGUUGGGUUAAGUCCCGCAACGAGCGCAACCCUCGUUCUGUGUUGCCAGCAUUUAGUUGGGGACUCACAGGAGACUGCCGGGGUUAACUCGGAGGAAGGUGGGGAUGACGUCAAAUCAUCAUGCCCCUUAUGUCUUGGGCUGCACGCAUGCUACAAUGGCUGGUACAAACGGCUGCAAUACCGCAAGGUGGAGCGAAUCCGAGAAAGCCAGUCUCAGUUCGGAUUGGGGUCUGCAACUCGACCCCAUGAAGUCGGAGUUGCUAGUAAUCGUAGAUCAGCAACGCUACGGUGAAUACGUUCCCGGGGCUUGUACACACCGCCCGUCACGUCACGAAAGUCGGUAACACCC
RNAcentral lists this ribosomal RNA (491 nucleotides) under uncultured Actinomycetes bacterium. RNAcentral's name for it is "bacterial SSU rRNA". It matches the Rfam family "Bacterial small subunit ribosomal RNA", at positions 928 to 1422 of the family's 1533-position model. Lineage: Bacteria; Bacillati; Actinomycetota; Actinomycetes. The record is from RNAcentral.